Pteronotus mesoamericanus is the source of this 1476-nucleotide long non-coding RNA. RefSeq lists it as uncharacterized. The record is from RefSeq and is a predicted model, not a curated record. The transcript has 3 exons. NCBI's taxonomy places the organism in Eukaryota, Metazoa, Chordata, Mammalia, Chiroptera, Mormoopidae.
GUCCUGGAGGACCAUCCCGACAGGUGUCCGUCCUUCUUUUUAGUCACCAGGCUGAGCUGGAUCGCGGGGACCCAACUGCAUCCCUCCCAGCGCCCCUGUCCCCCAACUCUAGGAGCGACGGGGUGUGUAGAGGUGCGGCAGGGGCCACACCAUCCUCUAGAGGAGGGCAGGAGGCGCUGGCGCGUGCGAGGAGGUCCCAGGGUUAAAAGAAACACUUGAAUUGGAAUGUUAGAACAGACAAAUGAGCCCCCGCUGCCGGGGCCUGCUCUCCGGACUUUUCCACCGAAGCUCAGAGGCCCGUGGACAGUUCAUACGCCACAUAGAUCAAGGCUCUGCACUGUGCCCCGGCCAAGUAACUCAAUUGGUUAGAGUGUCAUCCUGGUACACCAAGGUUGCGGGUUCGAUGCCAAUCAGAGCACAUACAAGACUCAACCAAUGAAUGUGUGAAUAAGUGAAGCAACAAUUGAUGUUUCUCUCCCCCUCCCAUUACUCUGUCUUUAAAGUCAACAACAAUAACAACAACAAUAAUAAAAGACUCUGCAUGUGUGAAGUCGUAAAGUUGCUCUGUCACCCUGCCCGGAGUUCUUUGCAGUCUCAGAUACUCUCUCAGAGCCCAGAGAGACGCAGAGGGCGAUGCCCAUGACAGCGCACGUGUUAACGUGUCCUCACAACAGGCAGAGUGUAGUGGCCUGACAUCUGUGCCAGGGAUUGUGGAAAAAAGUGAUGCUGCUGUUGGGGCAGAACCUGUCUUCUUGACUAAGAAACCUGGCAGCAGACGCGCCCCGAGGGCCGAGUUCUGCGGUGUCCGUCCCAGCUUGGCCGGCCCCUGUGCCUUGGGGUUCCUGGACCAGAAUGCGAGAUGCCGUGGGCUGGCACAGGGUAGGCAGUUGCUGAGGACAAAGAUGCUCUGGGAAGAUGGGCUGCGUCACAGAGAGAAGGGCAGGCGCUACCUAGUGGUGGGGACUGGGCUGGAGGAUUCCAAGAAUUUUGAGAAAACAGAGCAACCUAUUGUUUUGUUCUUGAGUCUGGAAUUGCACUUAAUGUACUGGCCACACAAAGUACUGUACUGUGACCACUUCCAAGAUCAACUGCAGAUGAGAAUAAAAAGCAGGAAAUAGUGCAGCUUGUCCCAAGUAAGGAAGGUGACAGAAACCCGUCUUCCCUCCCCAAAGAGGCUCCUACUAGAGAAUAAAGGUCCAUGUGAUAACUGGGUCCAAUUUCCACCCUCAUACCUAAUUCCAUAAGUAUGUUAAGAAUUAAGGAUUUUUCUCUGAUUGAAGCAGAGGUAUACAGAGCAGCAGGCUCUGGCGGUGAUGGGGUUCCUCUCUGCAGCUGGAGGAAACUGCCCCUUUCAGGGGGCAGGGAGGAGCAGGUGAGUGGGUGCUGGAUUCCAUGGGCCAGAAUCUGAGCGGGUUCCUUUUACCACCUGAGCUUCAAGAAAUGGCCUCAUUCUCCAGGAGGCUGCCAUUGGAGACA